Molecule: microRNA, 22 nt
Filed under: Sus scrofa (pig)
Lineage: Eukaryota; Metazoa; Chordata; Mammalia; Artiodactyla; Suidae
Description: ssc-mir59
Source: RNAcentral
UGCCUGGACCCUGCUGCCUAGA